GACAGAGGGGGCAAGCGUUGCUCGGAAUUACUGGGCGUAAAGGGCGCGUAGGCGGGAUGGCAAGUCGGUCGUGAAAUCCUUCGGCUCAACCGAAGAACGUCGAUCGAUACUGCUGUUCUUGAGGGUUGCAGAGGAGACUGGAAUUCCCGGUGUAGCGGUGAAAUGUGUAGAGAUCAGGAGGAACACCGGUGGCGAAGGCGGUUCUCUGGGCAUUACCUGACGCUGAGGAGCGAAAGCAUGGGGAGCGAACAGG
RNAcentral lists this ribosomal RNA (253 nucleotides) under uncultured bacterium. RNAcentral describes it as "partial 16S ribosomal RNA". It matches the Rfam family "Bacterial small subunit ribosomal RNA", at positions 524 to 776 of the family's 1533-position model. The record is from RNAcentral.